This 788-nucleotide long non-coding RNA is filed under the name Vombatus ursinus (common wombat). Its description in RNAcentral is "lncRNA (ENSVURG00010012385.1)". Lineage: Eukaryota; Metazoa; Chordata; Mammalia; Diprotodontia; Vombatidae. The record is from RNAcentral.
CACUAAGACUAAGGAAGACUAGGAAAUGCUUCUCACAGAAGAUAGAGCUUUAGCUGAAACUUGAAGGUUGCCAAGAAAGCUUAGAGGUGGAGUUGAGAAAGGAGAGGUAGUGUUCCAAACACUGAAGACAGGGAAUAAAAAUGCUUAGGGUCAGGAGACUGAGGAUUGUGUGAGAUGAAAAGCAAGGAGACCAGUGUCAGUGAAGACAUUAUUACGAUAAAAUGAAUAUCCACCCAAAGGUGCAAUCUCAGUUGGAUGCUUGUUGGAAACAAAAAGGAGAUUCCUCAUCCAUGAGCUUUGGCAAUCAAUUACGGAAGAAAGAGAAACCUGACUUCAUAAAAUCAUUCAUUAUUGCAACCAAUGACCAUCUAGGCAAUCUUGCUGGCCCAGAUGAUGAUGCUGCUGCAGUCACCAACUCUGCAUGUCAAAGAAAACGAUCACAGGUAUCAAAGAUUGCAGUUAAGCCUUGGCUUAAACAUAUUAAGCCUUGGAGUUCUUUGUACUGAAUUUAACUCAGCUCAAGCACUUUCUUGACAUGUGAAAGUCUUAGUUUCCUUCUCUGUAAAAUGGGAAAAAUAAUGCUUGUGCUACCUUGUUCACAGGAUUAUUUUAAGAAAAACUCUUAAUGAAUUGUAGAGUUGUAUGUGAACAUAAACUAGUUUUAUUAUCAUCCCACUUCUGAUUUCAACAUUAAAACCUCACUCAUUUUGACAGUACUCAAUUGAAAUCCAGACAGACUAAAUUAAAGAUUGCCUUUAUAUUUUCCACUCCCUGAAUGUACAAUAAGA